UACGUAGGGUGCGAGCGUUGUCCGGAAUUAUUGGGCGUAAAGAGCUUGUAGGCGGUUUGUCGCGUCUGCUGUGAAAAUCCGGGGCUCAACCCCGGACUUGCAGUGGGUACGGGCAGACUAGAGUGUGGUAGGGGAGACUGGAAUUCCCGGUGUAGCGGUGAAAUGCGCAGAUAUCGGGAAGAACACCCGUGGCGAAGGCGGCUCUCUGGGACGGUACUGACGCUGAGACGCGAAAGCGUGGGGAGCGAACAGG
Molecule: ribosomal RNA, 253 nt
Filed under: uncultured bacterium
Lineage: Bacteria
Description: partial 16S ribosomal RNA
Rfam family: Bacterial small subunit ribosomal RNA
Source: RNAcentral